This 332-nucleotide long non-coding RNA is filed under the name Myripristis murdjan (pinecone soldierfish). RNAcentral describes it as "lncRNA (ENSMMDG00005003110.1)". Lineage: Eukaryota; Metazoa; Chordata; Actinopteri; Holocentriformes; Holocentridae. The record is from RNAcentral.
GGACAUUAGCAGCAGCUGCAGGAAUUGCUGCUGCUCUGCUACUUGUCAUACUCCUUUCCAUCUUCCUGUGGAUUAGAAGAAAAAGGACCUCGACUCAAACCCCUGGACCUGAAGCACAAGAAGACACAGAGCAGUUAAACCACCCGCCUGUGCACAGCAGCAUCUCUGCCGUGGGACAGGAGCCGAUCCGUGCAGCUCAGAGCAAACCAGCUGAGCAGGAUGAGCUUCACUACAGCACCCUACACUUCUCUAAGAAAAAUCCCCUGUACUCCACCAACCAGCUGUCCCAGCCCCAGCUCCAGCCCCAGCCCCAGCCAGAGGAGGAAGUCCAG